Phyllostomus discolor (pale spear-nosed bat) is the source of this 1403-nucleotide long non-coding RNA. RefSeq lists it as uncharacterized. The record is from RefSeq and is a predicted model, not a curated record. The transcript is spliced from 4 exons. NCBI's taxonomy places the organism in Eukaryota, Metazoa, Chordata, Mammalia, Chiroptera, Phyllostomidae.
UUAGAUGAACAAAGGGAAGAUGAUAUAAAGACACUGGAAAAGAUGAUCAUCUACAAGCCAAGGAGGGUCCUGGUACAGAUACUUCCAUCAAGGGCCUCAGAAGGAACUCAUCCUGCCCACACCUUGAUCUGAACUUCUGGACUCCAGAACUAGCCUCCAUAAAGAAAUGCAGCUAUGCUGACACCUUGGUUUCAGCCUAGUGAGGUCUGUAUCAGAUAUCUGGCUUCCAGAACUAUGAAUGGUAGAAUCAUUUUAUCAAAUAACAGAGGAUUCCAUUAGAGCUGUGAUUGGAUGUUCUAAAAAUGAGAAAUUGAUGGAUAAAUACUGUGUAACAGAAGAUGACAAGGAAGAGAAUGCAAAUCCGCACAGAUUAUUUUGCCUCAGUAACUCGGCCACUUUUGUGGCUAAAGGACAGCUUUGAUUGUGAAGCAGCAAUUUGGAGCAGCAGGAAGGUCAAACAGGCCAUUAUUUUGGCAUUGAAGACUUCGGCUUGGCUGGGCACGUAGAGAUUUUCCUUUCCUCUCUCCCUCUCACCCGUGGAUGGGUUAGUUAACAACCAGCAGAGCAGCCAGCUUGACAUGAGGAGGAGGAUGCCAGGAGCACAGAUGGUCCACAACCCAGAUAAUUAGCUUCCGAAGAAGAAAUAACAUCUACUAAGUCUUCUGUGAAUGCAGUUUGGUUGGUCACAACUGGGGCAGAGAACAAGCAAGCACCCUCAACAACUCUUUUUUAUCUCUGAAAAUGUCAGCAGAGCACUCACCCACUUCCGAUGGACAACCACCUACUCAUAAGAUCUGCAGGGAAGAAUUCAAGUAAAUAUUGUAGACACUCCACCCUAAAGGAGGGGGAACAUAAGUCUCCACUCCUUAAGUGUGGGAUGCACAGAGUGACUUUCUUUCAAUGAGUAUAAGAUGGAAGAAGGGAGAGGGGAGAGUAAUUCUACUACUGUGCCAAGUGGCAAAGGUCAGUAUCAACAGUCAUAAAUUAGGUUGAUAGUAUCUACUUUCGGUAUAUGAGGUGAUAAAAAUGCACUUUAUCUCUGUGUUCUUCCUCCCUCAAACCCAUGGUCACAGUCUAAUCAUGAGAAAACCAUCAGACCAAUUCCAAUAGAGGAGCAUCCUACAGUAUUUCUGGCCAGUACUCCUCAAAGUCUUCAAAAAACAAGAAAAUCCGAGAAACUGUCACAACCCAGAGGAGCCCACAACAACUAUAGGUAAUAUGGUAUCCUGGAUGGGAUCUUGGAACAGAAAGAGGACAUUAGAUAAAAACUAAGGAAACUUGAAUAAAACAUGUACUUAGUUAAAAUGUUUUCAAUAUUGGUUCAUGAGUUGUAAUAAAUGUACUAUAACUGAUGAUGAUAAAGAAAGCUGUGAGGAGGCAUAUGGGAACUCGUACUUUCUUCU